Molecule: transfer RNA, 72 nt
Filed under: Marmota monax (woodchuck)
Lineage: Eukaryota; Metazoa; Chordata; Mammalia; Rodentia; Sciuridae
Rfam family: tRNA
About the family: Transfer RNA (tRNA) molecules are approximately 80 nucleotides in length. Their secondary structure includes four short double-helical elements and three loops (D, anti-codon, and T loops).
Source: Rfam by way of RNAcentral
UGGGUUGUGGCUCAGAGGUAGAGCACUCGCCUAAUAAGUGUGGGGCCCUGGGUUCAAUUCUCAGCACCACAA